RNAcentral lists this ribosomal RNA (551 nucleotides) under Pestalotiopsis mangiferae. RNAcentral's name for it is "eukaryotic LSU rRNA". The stretch from base 174 to 327 matches the Rfam family "5.8S ribosomal RNA". Lineage: Eukaryota; Fungi; Ascomycota; Sordariomycetes; Amphisphaeriales; Sporocadaceae. The record is from RNAcentral.
UCCGUAGGUGAACCUGCGGAGGGAUGAUUAUAGAGUUUUCUAAACUCCCAACCCAUGUGAACUUACCUUUUGUUGCCUCGGCAGAAGUUAUAGGUCUUCUUAUAGCUGCUGCCGGUGGACCAUUAAACUCUUGUUAUUUUAUGUAAUCUGAGCGUCUUAUUUUAAUAAGUCAAAACUUUCAACAACGGAUCUCUUGGUUCUGGCAUCGAUGAAGAACGCAGCGAAAUGCGAUAAGUAAUGUGAAUUGCAGAAUUCAGUGAAUCAUCGAAUCUUUGAACGCACAUUGCGCCCAUUAGUAUUCUAGUGGGCAUGCCUGUUCGAGCGUCAUUUCAACCCUUAAGCCUAGCUUAGUGUUGGGAAUCUACUUCUCUUAGGAGUUGUAGUUCCUGAAAUACAACGGCGGAUUUGUAGUAUCCUCUGAGCGUAGUAAUUUUUUUCUCGCUUUUGUUAGGUGCUAUAACUCCCAGCCGCUAAACCCCCAAUUUUUUGUGGUUGACCUCGGAUCAGGUAGGAAUGCCCACUGAACUUAAGCAUAUCAAUAAGCGGAGGAA